CCUACGGGAGGCAGCAGUGAGGAAUAUUGGUCAAUGGGCGCAAGCCUGAACCAGCCAAGUCGCGUGAGGGAAGACGGUCCUACGGAUUGUAAACCUCUUUUGCCGGGGAGCAACGGGGUCCUUGCGAGGGCCCGAUGAGAGUACCCGGAGAAAAAGCAUCGGCUAACUCCGUGCCAGCAGCCGGGGUAAUACGGAGGAUGCGGGCGUUAUCCGGAUUUAUGGGGUUUAAGGGGUGGGUAGGCGGGCUGUUAAGUUAGCGGUAAAAUGUCGGGGCUCAACCCCGGACUGCCGUUGAAACUGGCGGCCUCGAGUGGGCGAGAAGUAUGCGGAAUGCGUGGUGUAGCGGUGAAAUGCAUAGAUAUCACGCAGAACUCCGAUUGCGAAGGCAGCAUACCGGCGCCCGACUGACGCUGAGGCACGAAAGCGUGGGUAUCGAACAGGAUUAGAUACCCCGGUAGUC
RNAcentral lists this ribosomal RNA (460 nucleotides) under uncultured bacterium. Its description in RNAcentral is "partial 16S ribosomal RNA". It matches the Rfam family "Bacterial small subunit ribosomal RNA", at positions 338 to 795 of the family's 1533-position model. The record is from RNAcentral.